GUAUUUAGAAUUAUUUCAUUCAAAAAUAGCUUCAGACAAAAAAUUUCAAUAAAAAAGUUGGUAUUGGUGCUGACGCGAACGCACGAAACGAUCGCAUCAGCAAACAUUGCACACAAGGUGAGUACUUAUUUUAAAAAGUGCAGUAGAACACUUAUUAUGAAUGAUCCUUCCGCAGGUUCACCUACGGAAA
RNAcentral lists this unclassified non-coding RNA (190 nucleotides) under uncultured fungus. Its description in RNAcentral is "sequence contains ITS1". The record is from RNAcentral. Lineage: Eukaryota; Fungi.